GCCAGAUAAUGGUUUUUGUGCAACUGUCACAGGAACCGGCAAAAAUGUGCAACAUCAUGCUUUGCAAGGGAUUUCCCGUUCGGUAGAAAACACACAUGUAUUUUCUCCAGAUACCCCCACUAGGAUUAAGGAAGUAUUACAGAAAGCAUGUCCCCUGCAUAUCUUCAAAGAUGUUCACCAAUCAGGGGUUAACUGUCUUCAUGUUUCAGACAUAGAUGGUCCUGAAGUUUCUGAUCGGAAGUUUACAUUUUAUAUUCUGAGUGGGGGUGAUGACCAGUCACUUAACUGUCUUAGUUUAGAUUUCUCUCCGACAUCAAUGAGGCAGAGUUCUGAAAAUUCGACUUUGGAGCAAAAUAGCACCAGCACAUCACAGAAUAUAGGUGGUGAUGUUCAUAAUUAUCAAGUGGGAAAUCAUCAUAUUAAAUUUAUGUUGCAUGAUAAUAUCACCUCAGCUCACAGCUCUGCCGUUAAAGGUGUUUGGACAGAUGGUCGUUGGGUAUUUUCUACUGGUCUUGAUCAGCGCAUCAGGUGUUGGCAUCUUGAAGAGCGAGGCAAAUUAACUGAGCACAAACAUAUGGUUGUUAGUGUACCAGAGCCCGAGGCAUUGGAUGCUCGGGUCUGUGGAAGGAACCAUUAUCAGAUUGUAGUCGCUGGGAGGGGAAUGCAAAU
Molecule: unclassified non-coding RNA, 669 nt
Filed under: Hevea brasiliensis (rubber tree)
Lineage: Eukaryota; Viridiplantae; Streptophyta; Magnoliopsida; Malpighiales; Euphorbiaceae
Source: RNAcentral